Molecule: non-coding RNA, 826 nt
Organism: Jatropha curcas
Lineage: Eukaryota; Viridiplantae; Streptophyta; Magnoliopsida; Malpighiales; Euphorbiaceae
Source: RefSeq, a predicted model, not a curated record
AUAAAUGGGUUGGAAUGAAAACCCAUAAAUUAGUUUGAUAAUAGAUGAAGCACUGCAACUCCAUCAUCACCUCCACCGCCUCUGCCUCCAUCUCCAACUCCACCGCCUCUGCCUCCAUCUCCACCCCCACCCCCACCUCCUCCUCCGCACCUUCUAUACAUGCACAAAGUCGCCGUUGCUCCUUGGGCUACACACCGGCAACAUCGAAUUCACCGGCGUUGACCAUCCAUUACAGUACCAUUGCGGUUAAAUACCCUUUCCCCCCGGAUUCUUGUUCCUGUUAUGCGGCAGAUUGGGUGAAAUCUUGAGAAUAUGAAGCUUUCCACAAAACCUUCUGGUUCAACUGGUUCAACUGGAGAUUCGAUACUAUAUAGGUCCGAUGACACUGCACGCCGACAACCAUCUGUGAAGGCUGCACUUUCAGUUUCAAUUUAUUGAUUCGGUUUGCAAUUGCGUUGGGUGCUGUUUUUUUGUUCUUGGGGUUCUUUUUUUAUUUCUGCAGAUAUAUAUUUAAUUCUUUAUAUUUACAUGCUUAUCACUGGCCCAGUUCUAUAGGGUUCUUGGUUCAAUGCACAACUCUUGCCAAAUUUACGAGAAAGCUGAUGGGCAUGUCCAAAUCUUGCAAGUGAGUGUCCAAAUCCCAUUUUUGAUGUGGGACUUUAUCGCUCUUGGUUGGUUCAAUCCAUCACGGCCUACGAUUUUUGAAAUAAAAUUGCUAUAAGAUGCAUUAUAUAUGUUACAGAAUCACACUGUGCUUACCUGUUGAUCAAAUUCAAGUGCAGCAUCAUAAUUGUUUUAUUCCUGCAAUUAAUAAACAGUUCCUGUA